Long non-coding RNA from Mugil cephalus (flathead mullet), 166 nucleotides. RefSeq lists it as uncharacterized. The record is from RefSeq and is a predicted model, not a curated record. NCBI's taxonomy places the organism in Eukaryota, Metazoa, Chordata, Actinopteri, Mugiliformes, Mugilidae. The transcript has 2 exons.
GCUAUGUGCUAAAGCUAUACUGUUAAAGUUCGCUCGCUAGCUUAAAGCUAACAUAUUUCUGUCCUUUAAUGCGUGUAGGAGCUCAUGUUGUUCGUGACUGAUGGGAGGAUUUUGUUUUCAUUUAUACUUUCGUCAGAGAAUAAACGGAGACUGCCUCCUCCAAAGA